GCACAGAGUUAGCCCGUGCUUAUUCUGCGAGAUAACGUCCACUCUCCAGUAGUAUUAAUACUGGGAGCCUCCUCCUCGCUUAAAGUGCUUUACAACCAAAAGGCCUUCUUCACACACGCGGCAUGGCUGGAUCAGGGUUGCCCCCAUUGUCCAAUAUUCCCCA
This 163-nucleotide ribosomal RNA is filed under the name uncultured bacterium. RNAcentral's name for it is "partial 16S ribosomal RNA". The record is from RNAcentral.